Molecule: transfer RNA, 72 nt
Filed under: Camelus bactrianus (Bactrian camel)
Lineage: Eukaryota; Metazoa; Chordata; Mammalia; Artiodactyla; Camelidae
Also listed under: 2 other names
Rfam family: tRNA
About the family: Transfer RNA (tRNA) molecules are approximately 80 nucleotides in length.
Source: Rfam by way of RNAcentral
GAGGGUAUAGCUCAAGUGGUAGAGUGCAUGCUUAGCAUGCAUGAGGUCCUGGGUUCAAUCCCAGUACCGCCU